RNA transcript from Prosopis cineraria, 849 nucleotides. RefSeq lists it as uncharacterized. The transcript is spliced from 3 exons. Lineage: Eukaryota; Viridiplantae; Streptophyta; Magnoliopsida; Fabales; Fabaceae. The record is from RefSeq and is a predicted model, not a curated record.
AUAAGGUUUGCCCCGGCCGCUUGGUGCAUGUCACUACUAUUGCUACACCACACACAAGCCAGUCUUCUCAUCUCCCCGUCGUCUCCUCCUCCUUAGUCCAUGGCGGUGUCUGACACAGUGGCGGGAAAUUUGAUGACGAUCUACGUGGCAGUGAUCGCCGGCAUCAAAGUCUAUGGGCUUGUGUGCGGGCGAAGCUUGAGCACCGGAUUUGUUGUGAUAAUGUCGACCACCGUGGUGGGCCUGAUCCUGGUGGCCACGCUGACGUGGGACGUGUCACGUAAGGCCAAGUAUGCAUUCGCGCUCGAUCAAACCCCUCGUCGUCAACCUCAUCACAUCCUCCAUGCUCAGACGUGCAAGGGUGGUAUCUGCUGGCAUGGAGUGGCGGUGCGAUCGCUGGCGUCUCAGAUCCGAUUCAGGCUUCCCCACCACAUUCCUUUGUGAAGACGAACGUCUUGCUUCGAAUUGGAAGGAUUACAUCACCUGGAUAUUCUGUGGCCUAUGCGAAUAAUUAAGUAAACGGACGUGGCUGCUCAACGAACAAUGAUUCUCUAUAUGCCUCUCCAAUCUACUUAACUGAAUGCAUCCAAUUAAUGAGAGUCUGAUGCAGAGGCAUCUCUGGUACUGCCUUAUAACUCUAGAUCGAUCCAUAUUAUUCCAAAUAGACUUCUCUUCUUUUUUUCCAUUAUUGCAACUACACCGACAUUAUUACACAAGAGCAUCCUGGCUUUGUUACGUUUGACACUACACAAACUGUAUAUUUAAGGCUUUGUUCUAGUCACCUGCUUUGUGACUAAUGAUGUCAACAGUGUCAUAUGAUGAUGUGUUUAGAUGGAUCGAUUCGCCUUUUGA